AGCCUGCCCAGUGACCCAGUUCAACGGCCGCGGUAUCCUAACCGUGCGAAGGUAGCGUAAUCACUUGUUCUUUAAAUGAGGACUAGUAUGAAUGGCACCACGAAGGUUACACUGUCUCCUUUUUCUAAUCAAUGAAACUAAUCUCCCCGUGAAGAAGCGGGGAUUUAAAUAUAAGACGAGAAGACCCUAUGGAGCUUCAAACUAAAUAGUAUUGGCUUUUAUCCAUUUAUACCCCCGGGGCCUCAUACUAACUCUAGCCUUUUAACUAUUAGUUUUGGGUUGGGGUGACCGCGGAGCAAAAAUUAUCCUCCAUGAUGAAUAGAGCUACUCUUGAGCCAAAAGCCACAACUUUAGGCACCAAUAAACUGACAUAAAUUGACCCAAUAUUUUGAGCAACGAACCAAGUUACCCUAGGGAUAACAGCGCAAUCCAUCUCAAGAGCCCCUAUCGACAGGUGGGUUUACGACCUCGAUGUUGGAUCAGGGUAUCCCAGUGGUGCAGCCGC
Molecule: ribosomal RNA, 505 nt
Filed under: Dendropsophus leucophyllatus (Bereis' treefrog)
Lineage: Eukaryota; Metazoa; Chordata; Amphibia; Anura; Hylidae
Description: partial 16S ribosomal RNA
Rfam family: Bacterial large subunit ribosomal RNA
Source: RNAcentral